Molecule: non-coding RNA, 98 nt
Organism: Hymenopellis radicata
Lineage: Eukaryota; Fungi; Basidiomycota; Agaricomycetes; Agaricales; Physalacriaceae
Source: the annotation of a GenBank genome assembly
UGCCCCAUGGCUGAGUUGGUUACAGCGUCCGACUGUUAUGUAUAUGCGUCAAAUGUCGUUCAAUCGGAAGGUCGUGAGUUCGAGCCUCACUGGGGCAG